RNAcentral lists this ribosomal RNA (314 nucleotides) under uncultured bacterium. Its description in RNAcentral is "bacterial SSU rRNA". It matches the Rfam family "Bacterial small subunit ribosomal RNA", at positions 28 to 334 of the family's 1533-position model. The record is from RNAcentral.
GAUGAACGCUAGCGGCAGGCUUAACACAUGCAAGUCGAGGGGCAGCAUAGAGGUUAGAAAUAACUUCUGAUGGCGACCGGCGCAAGGGUGCGUAACGCGUGAGCAACUUGCCCUUAUCAGGGGGAUAACCAAUGGAAACGUUGACUAAUACCCCAUAGUAUAACAUUAAGGCAUCUUUUUGUUAUUAAAGAAUUUCGGAUAAGGAUAGGCUCGCGUGACAUUAGCUAGAUGGCGGGGUAACGGCCCACCAUGGCGACGAUGUCUAGGGGUUCUGAGAGGAAGGUCCCCCACACUGGAACUGAGACACGGUCCAG